UGUUUGAACUGUUUGAGCAAAAUUAACUUCUUUGAUAACAGUAGUACUACUAAUUAUUCACUAGUAUAUAAUGCAACCUAGCUAGCUAGCUUAUGUAUAAGCAUCUCUUCAAUCAAAUAUCUCAAAGCUUGGAUAACUGCUCAAACCAGUCAAAUUUGAAGGAAGACUGAAAUGAAGUUUCUGUUUCUAGUCACCGUAACCAUGGCGUUAAUCGUGUUUGGAGCUGCACUGACCGAUGCCAAACGCCUUGAUCCGUUCGGAGAAGUUCCUCGGAGUUUAGUUGAAUCUGAUAUCAGUCCCAAGGUUAACAUCAAGGUUGCUGAGACGAAUGAGGAUGAGGAGAAUGAGAGUUAUGGUAAUUUUGGGCAUGAUAAGGCCGGAUCUUCUGCAGAAAGCCACCGUACCUUCAACUGUGCAACUAUUUCGUGCAACUGAGUCACUCGACUUUGUAAAAUGGUUGGAUGGAUUGCUUUGAUGAAGAGUGAGAAGUAACUAAUUAUGUCACCCAUAUAUGUAAGUAGCUAGAUUUAUGCUUUCUAGCAAAUAAAAAGAUCACUGUGUCUCUGCCUCUAGGGUUCUCAAAUUGCAUCAACGAAGUUACAAAACAAUUACCUACUUAAUUAUAUAUAUAAUUGAGUUUUUGAUAAUAGAUAGAAAUUACUUCUAUGUGUUUCUUGUA
This is a long non-coding RNA of Daucus carota subsp. sativus, 679 nucleotides long. RefSeq lists it as uncharacterized. The transcript is spliced from 2 exons. The record is from RefSeq and is a predicted model, not a curated record. Lineage: Eukaryota; Viridiplantae; Streptophyta; Magnoliopsida; Apiales; Apiaceae.